Long non-coding RNA from Arabidopsis lyrata subsp. lyrata, 636 nucleotides. RefSeq lists it as uncharacterized. NCBI's taxonomy places the organism in Eukaryota, Viridiplantae, Streptophyta, Magnoliopsida, Brassicales, Brassicaceae. The record is from RefSeq and is a predicted model, not a curated record. The transcript is spliced from 2 exons.
CGGUCUAUUUCCCUACGAGAACUAUAACAUCAUAACAGAUAGAGCCCAAUCUAUGACUACGAUCCAGAUAUCCCCGAAAAAAUAUUUCUCAAUCUAUAUCUCCUCGAAUCAAUAUUUUUCAUCUAUUUCUCCAUAAAUCUGAUUUAAUCGGUUUACAAACUAAACCGGAUAGAAAACCACUCUAACCCAACAUGACUGAUUUGAAAAACCCAAUUGACCAAAAAUUUGAUCCAUUCUAAAACCUGUUGAACGAGAAAUUGAUGUCUGCAACAUCCGUACCAUCAAUGGCAAAAUUUCUCACAAAAACAAAACUUUACUCUCCUCCAUCUUGGGUUUCCCAUCUUAUUAUGAAUCAUUCCCACACGUACAUUCAUUUCAGUUUUUCUAUGUUUCAAUUCUUCAUUUCUUUCAGUGAUCAUCACCUUUCUCUUUUUCUUCUUCUACAUCUUCAGCUUCCUACUCUGAUACAUCGGUCUUCCUAAUGCCACUAGUUCUAGAAAAGGUGAUAGAACCGGAUUUAUGAUUCUUAUCACAAGCGAAUGAUUUCACCGGCAUGGAAUUGAGUGGAAACAAAGUCUAAAAACUCGAAUUGUUUAUGGCGGAUGAUAGAUACGUCGUCGUUUUGUUAAACCAUCA